RNAcentral lists this ribosomal RNA (737 nucleotides) under Panstrongylus lignarius. RNAcentral's name for it is "SSU rRNA". It matches the Rfam family "Eukaryotic small subunit ribosomal RNA", at positions 500 to 1151 of the family's 1831-position model. RNAcentral also lists the same sequence under 1 other name. Lineage: Eukaryota; Metazoa; Arthropoda; Insecta; Hemiptera; Reduviidae. The record is from RNAcentral.
GCCCCGUAAUCGGAAUGAGUACACUUUAAAUCCUUUAACAAGGAUCCAUUGGAGGGCAAGUCUGGUGCCAGCAGCCGCGGUAAUUCCAGCUCCAAUAGCGUAUAUUAAAGUUGUUGCGGUUAAAAAGCUCGUAGUUGGUUCUGCGUGCCGCGCUGUCGGUUCGCCGCCUGUCGGUGUAACUGGCAUGUCGCGGCAUGUCCUGUCGGUGGUGAACGGAGUCCACAAUGCUACAUAGGCUUUAUAGCCGAUGUUAGCAUCGUGUGUACUUCCGUUGGCCGAUCUCUCCUACUUCGGUGCUCUUAAACGAGUGUCGAGGUAGGCCGACACGUUCACUUUGAACAAAUUAGAGUGCUUAAAGCAGGCUGAAAUAUCUGCCUGAAUAGUGGUGCAUGGAAUGAUAAAACAGGACCUCGGUUCUAUUUUGUUGGUUUUAGGAAUAUGAGGUAAUGAUCAAUGUGGACUGGCGGGGGCAUUCGUAUUGCGACGUUAGAGGUGAAAUUCUUGGAUCGUCGCAAGACGCACUAGAGCGAAAGCAUUUGCCAAGUAUGUCUUAAUUGAUCAAGAACGAAAGUUAGAGGUUCGAAGGCGAUCAGAUACCGCCCUAGUUCUAACCAUAAACGAUGCCAGCCAGCGAUCCGCCGAUGUUCCUUUAAUGACUCGGCGGGGAGCUUCCACCCGGGAAACCAAAGCUUUUGGGUUCCGGGGGAAGUAUGGUUGCAAAGCUGAAACUUAAAGGA